Molecule: ribosomal RNA, 3018 nt
Filed under: Triticum aestivum (bread wheat)
Lineage: Eukaryota; Viridiplantae; Streptophyta; Magnoliopsida; Poales; Poaceae
Description: partial small subunit ribosomal RNA
Source: RNAcentral
AUGGAGGAGGGUUCUGAGCGGCCCCCUCACCCACGCGCCACCCGGGCGCAAAACCCUAGCUGUGAGGAGGAGGAGGCCGCGGCGGCCGCCGGGCGGGUCAAAGACGAGAUUGCUGACGAUCUCAACGCCGACCCCGCGGAGGACGAGGAUGAGGAGGAGGUGGUGGUGGAGGAGGGCGAGGACGAGGUGCUCGUCGCCUCCGACGACGAUGACGGGGCGGCGGACGGCGCCGGAGGGGACGACGACUUCGUGCCGCGCACGCUGGAGGAAGCUCUCGUGCCGCGGGUGGGCACGGUGUUCGACUCCGUCGACGAGGCGUUUUCGCUCUACAAGGCAUACGCCUUCCGCAUGGGAUUCCACGCCGUGCGCCGCACCUGCCACAACUACGAGGGGAUUCGCUACCGCUCCACCUUCAGCUGCACUCAAGCUGGCAAGUCCCGGGAAGGGGCGGCCCCGUCGGAAGAUUCAGGCGCCCGCUACCCACUCCGCAACAAGCGUGGGGCAGCCACCCCAGAGAAGCGGGCUCGGCGUACCACCGCCGAGAAGACUGGAUGCAAGGCGAUGCUGAUCAUCCGUGACAAGCGGGUGAACGAUAGGUGGAAGGUGGAGUUCGUCGACUUGGAGCAUAACCACCCUUGCACACCGGAUAUGGUGAGGUUUUUAAAAGCCUACAGGGAGAUGCCAGAGUCAGCCAAGAAGAAGGCCAAGAUUACUGUUGAGAUGGAUGAGAUGGUGGAGAAGUCAUUGAGUGAGAUUGCUGAGACCAGGAAGUUUCCGACUCGCCCCAAGCGGAGUGUCAGUGGUGGAGCUGCUGCUGGUGGGUUGAGGUUUAAUAGAACCGACAGUUUUGUGCAGCGCUUCGGGGACGAAGAUCUCAUUGCAGUCAAGAAGUUCAUCGAAAUGAUGCAGGAAAAGAAACCAAACUUCAUUCAUAGCUGGGAUCUUGAUCAGGAAAGUCGCAUGAAGAAUUUUUUCUGGACAGAUUUGAGGUCUCAGGCCCAGUACCGCUACUUUGGUGAUGUCAUUUCACUUGAUGUAAUGUACUUGCAGCACUCUCGUGCUAGCCUCCCUUUGGCCACACUCCUUGGGGUGAAUAACCAUGGCCACCUUGUGCUACUUGGUUGUGGUCUGCUCUCCAAAGACAGUAAAGAGAACUAUGUCUGGUUGUUGAAGAGGUGGCUGGGCUGUAUGAAUGGCAAGCCACCAGAGGCGAUUACAACUUGUUAUUCAGAUGUUGUAGCAGAGGCUGUGUCUGAGGUCUUGCCAGAUGCAAGGCACCGCUUCUGCUUUUGGCAUAUCUUGAAGAAGCUCCAAGAAAACGUGGGACGCACACAUGAGAAAGAGGCAAUUUCUUUGAGAUUCAAGGAGGUUGUUUAUGACACAGUCACACUUACUGACUUUGAAAAGGAGUGGGAGGCCAUGGUUGAGCAUUAUAAGCUCAAAGAUAAUGAAUGGUUCUCUGCACUGUACAGCUGCCGGAAGCAGUGGGCUCCUGGUUAUGUCAAUCAUUCGUUUUGGGCUGGCACAUCUGCUAUCAGGAAGGUUGAAAAACCAGAUCCAUACUUUGAUGGUGUUGUGACAAGUAAAACCACAUUGCCAGUUUUCCUUGAGCAAUAUGAGACUACCCUCAGAGGGAAGCUGGAAAGGGAAGCAUACGAUGAUUUGCGCUCCUAUUAUUCUAGGCUCACUUUGCUGUCAGGAUUACCAUUUGAGGAGCAACUUCUGGAGCUGUAUACAGUACCCAUGUUUCAGGCAUUCCAAGACGAGAUCAAGCAAUUAAUGCAUGUUAUUUGUAAAGAGGUAGACAGGAGCGGGAAUUCAAUUACCUACAUGGUCAGCGAGUUAAUACAGGGCAAGAAGGUUGACUAUACGGUUGUCUACAACAAUUCUGACAAGGAUGUUUGGUGCAUUUGUCGCUCUUUUCCAUCACGGGGCAUUCUUUGCAGCCAUGCUCUGUCUGUUCUGAAGCAAGAGAAUGUGUUGAUGCUGCCAUCAAAGUACAUCCUCAGCCGCUGGAGGAAGGACUUCAGAAUUAUUCACGCGUCUGCAAGCUCGAACUCUGUGGCAUUGCAGAGAGAUUUGAGCAUUUUUGAUGAUCUGUACGUGCGUGGCCAUGAAUAUUUAGAAGAUGUUAUCGAUAUUGGGGCUAGAGAACCUGAGUUGAAGGAGUUUGUGCUGUCUGCCAUGAAAGAAGCGAAGGGCAAACUAGUAAGGCCUGGCCAGACCCAGCAAGGUGAUCAGCGGGUUGAUGUAAAUAUGGCAGUAACUGGUCAGGUAUCCGCUGAUAGAAGAGUUGAUGUGAACAUGGCAUCAAACACCACAUCCAUCAUUCACAGGGACAGAAGGGUUGAGGCAAACAUGCCAGUAAACACAAGAGCCCUGGUUCAUGAGGAUAACAUGGCAUCCAACACGACAUCCCUGAUCCAUGGGGACAGAAGAGCCGAUAUGGAAAUGCAAACACCCCACCUUAUCCACAGAGAGGGAAGAGUUGACAUGAACAUGACAGCCCCUCACUUGAUGCAGAGGGAGAGAAGAGUAGACGUGAAUAUGACGUCCCCUCACCUGAUCCAUGGGGACAGAAGAGUCGAUAUGAACCUGGGGUCGCCACAUUUCAUACACAGCGACAGAAGAGUUGAUAUGAACCUGACAUCCCCUCAUCUGAUACAUGGGGACAGGAGAGUUGAUAUGAACAUGGCGUCACCACACCUGAUACAUGGAGACAGAAGAGUUGAUAUGAACAUGACGUCCCCUCACAUGAUACACGGUGACACGAGAGUGGAUAUGAACAUGGUAUCCACUUCUCAGGAUGAUGCGAUGCACACUUUUGAUUUGGUGAACGUCAACCUGGAGAGUUCUUUGCCAAUGGCUGCAACAGAUUUCAUGCAAAUGCAUCCACACCCACCAGUUUACCAUCCCAAACAACUCCUCAAUAUGAGAGAUCAGGUGAUGGACUCAAACAAGAGAUCCAAUGUGGAAACCAAUACUUAUUUCAUCGGAGGUGGAAUGCAUGUGGGGUAG